This 73-nucleotide transfer RNA is filed under the name Fidelibacterota bacterium. RNAcentral's name for it is "Candidatus Marinimicrobia bacterium tRNA-Glu". It matches the Rfam family "tRNA". From Rfam's summary of the family: Transfer RNA (tRNA) molecules are approximately 80 nucleotides in length. Their secondary structure includes four short double-helical elements and three loops (D, anti-codon, and T loops). Further hydrogen bonds mediate the characteristic L-shaped molecular structure. tRNAs have two regions of fundamental functional importance: the anti-codon, which is responsible for specific mRNA codon recognition, and the 3' end, to which the tRNAs corresponding amino acid is attached (by aminoacyl-tRNA synthetases). tRNAs cope with the degeneracy of the genetic code in two manners: having more than one tRNA (with a specific anti-codon) for a particular amino acid; and 'wobble' base-pairing, i.e. permitting non-standard base-pairing at the 3rd anti-codon position. The record is from RNAcentral. Lineage: Bacteria; Pseudomonadati; Fidelibacterota.
GGCCCGUUCGUCUAGUGGUUAGGACUCAUGGUUUUCAUCCAUGCAACAGGGGUUCGAUCCCCCUACGGGCUGC